GGGGAAUAUUGCACAAUGGGCGCAAGCCUGAUGCAGCAACGCCGCGUGAGGGAUGACGGCCUUCGGGUUGUAAACCUCUUUUAGCAGGGAAGAAGCGAAAGUGACGGUACCUGCAGAAAAAGCGCCGGCUAACUACGUGCCAGCAGCCGCGGUAAUACGUAGGGCGCAAGCGUUAUCCGGAAUUAUUGGGCGUAAAGAGCUCGUAGGCGGUUUGUCGCGUCUGCUGUGAAAUCCCGAGGCUCAACCUCGGGUCUGCAGUGGGUACGGGCAGACUAGAGUGCGGUAGGGGAGAUUGGAAUUCCUGGUGUAGCGGUGGAAUGCGCAGAUAUCAGGAGGAACACCGAUGGCGAAGGCAGAUCUCUGGGCCGUAACUGACGCUGAGGAGCGAAACGGGUGGGGAGCAAACAGGCUUAGAUACCCUGGUAGUCCACCCCGCUAAACGUUGGGAACCUAGUUGUGGGGUCCAUUCCACGGAUUCCGUGACGCAGCUAACGCAUUAAGUUCCCCGCCUGGGGAGUACGGCCGCAAGG
Molecule: ribosomal RNA, 530 nt
Filed under: uncultured bacterium
Lineage: Bacteria
Description: partial 16S ribosomal RNA
Rfam family: Bacterial small subunit ribosomal RNA
Source: RNAcentral